RNAcentral lists this ribosomal RNA (756 nucleotides) under uncultured bacterium. RNAcentral's name for it is "bacterial SSU rRNA". It matches the Rfam family "Bacterial small subunit ribosomal RNA", at positions 8 to 796 of the family's 1533-position model. The record is from RNAcentral.
AGAGUUUGAUCAUGGCUCAGAAUCAACGCUGGCGGCGCGCCUAACACAUGCAAGUCGAGCGGGAAAGUGGAGCAAUCCAUGAGUACAGUGGCGUACGGGUGAGUAACACGUGGGUAAUCUACCUCUUAGUGGGGAAUAACCCUGGGAAACCGGGGCUAAUACCGCAUAAGCCUGAGAAGGGAAAGCAGCAAUGCGCUGAGAGAGGAGCCCGCGGCCGAUUAGCUAGUUGGCAGGGUAAAAGCCUACCAAGGCAGAGAUCGGUAGCCGGCCUGAGAGGGCACACGGCCACACUGGCACUGAAACACGGGCCAGACUCCUACGGGAGGCAGCAGUGGGGAAUCUUGCACAAUGGGGGAAACCCUGAUGCAGCGACGCCGCGUGAGCGAUGAAGCCCUUCGGGGUGUAAAGCUCUUUCGUCAGGGAAGAUAAUGACGGUACCUGGAGAAGCAGCUGCGGCUAACUACGUGCCAGCAGCCGCGGUAAUACGUAGGCAGCAAGCGUUGUUCGGAGUUACUGGGCGUAAAGGGUGUGUAGGCGGUUCUUUAAGUUUGGUGUGAAAUCUCCCGGCUCAACCGGGAGGGUGCGCCGAAUACUGAGGGACUAGAGUACGGGAGAGGAAAGUGGAAUUCCUGGUGUAGCGGUGAAAUGCGUAGAUAUCAGGAGGAACACCGGUGGUGUAGACGGCUUUCUGGACCGUAACUGACGCUGAGACACGAAAGCGUGGGUAGCAAACAGGAUUAGAUACCCUAGUAGUCC